RNAcentral lists this ribosomal RNA (423 nucleotides) under uncultured bacterium. RNAcentral describes it as "bacterial SSU rRNA". It matches the Rfam family "Bacterial small subunit ribosomal RNA", at positions 358 to 773 of the family's 1533-position model. The record is from RNAcentral.
GGAAUAUUGGACAAUGGGCGCAAGCCUGAUCCAGCAAUGCCGCGUGGGUGAAGAAGGCCUUCGGGUUGUAAAGCCCUUUUGUACGGGAAGAAAGACGCUGGGCUAAUACCCUGGCGGGAUGACGGUACCGUAAGAAUAAGCCCCGGCUAACUUCGUGCCAGCAGCCGCGGUAAUACGAAGGGUGCAAGCGUUACUCGGAAUUACUGGGCGUAAAGCGUGCGUAGGUGGUUCGUUAAGUCUGCCGUGAAAGCCCCGGGCUCAACCUGGGAAUGGCGGUGGAUACUGGCGGACUAGAGUGCGGUAGAGGGUGGUGGAAUUCCCGGUGUAGCAGUGAAAUGCGUAGAGAUCGGGAGGAACAUCUGUGGCGAAGGCGGCCACCUGGACCAGCACUGACACUGAGGCACGAAAGCGUGGGGAGCAAAC